GUAUUAAUUGUUAAUCUAUAAGUUAAAUAAAUUAAAAUAAUAUUUUUUCAUAAGCAGCUUGAAGACACAAUUGAGCUAUGGAUGCAAAUGAGGAUUAAACCAUUGAUUAUUUUGGGAACAUAUAAGGAUGGACAUAUUUUUUUUAUGGAAUGUUUUUAUUCAUAACGAUGAGAACGAUGAAGAUGAUUGGCAAAUGCAGCAUAUCAGAGAACCACAUUUAAAAAUCAAUCAUUAUUUCGAAAAUGUUGUUCUUUUAUAUUCUGUCACAGAUUUUAAAUCACAUUUUCGUAUCAGCAGAAAUACUUUUGAGCAAUUAAUGCAAAAUCUUGGACCAGCAAUAAUUGAAAGACACAAUUUGCCUAAGUUGCCACCACAUAAACAGAUUGCUAUAGCUCUUUGGAUUUUUGGAAAUCAAGAAGUUAAGUAAUAAAAUUAGGUUAAGUAAUAAAAAUUAAUUUUUUCAUUGUAACACUUUUUCUUUAGAU
Long non-coding RNA from Formica exsecta, 485 nucleotides. RefSeq lists it as uncharacterized. The record is from RefSeq and is a predicted model, not a curated record. NCBI's taxonomy places the organism in Eukaryota, Metazoa, Arthropoda, Insecta, Hymenoptera, Formicidae. The transcript has 3 exons.